AUACGUAGGUGGCAAGCGUUAUCCGGAUUUAUUGGGCGUAAAGCGAGCGCAGGCGGUCUUUUAAGUCUAAUGUGAAAGCCUUCGGCUCAACCGAAGAAGUGCAUUGGAAACUGGGAGACUUGAGUGCAGAAGAGGACAGUGGAACUCCAUGUGUAGCGGUGAAAUGCGUAGAUAUAUGGAAGAACACCAGUGGCGAAGGCGGCUGUCUGGUCUGUAACUGACGCUGAGGCUCGAAAGCAUGGGUAGC
RNAcentral lists this ribosomal RNA (247 nucleotides) under uncultured bacterium. RNAcentral describes it as "partial 16S ribosomal RNA". It matches the Rfam family "Bacterial small subunit ribosomal RNA", at positions 523 to 769 of the family's 1533-position model. The record is from RNAcentral.